This 367-nucleotide long non-coding RNA is filed under the name Panax ginseng (ginseng). RNAcentral's name for it is "long non-coding RNA (PGIN_LNC013325)". The record is from RNAcentral. Lineage: Eukaryota; Viridiplantae; Streptophyta; Magnoliopsida; Apiales; Araliaceae.
UCUCAAACACACCUUCAAACACAUGCAAAAACCAAAAUAAAAACUUUGUCAGCGCUUAUAUAGUCCAGACGGCACAAAACCCAUCAACUAUACAUGCAUAUAUAUAGAGAAAUUUUGACCCUUUUGGGCUUGAUGAUUCUGUUGCUAUUUUCGGUUUCUGGUUAUUUAUAUGGAAAGAGAAUUAAAAAGAUAUGAUUGAUUAGAGUAUUACCACAACUGAUUGAAAGAAGAAUGAAUGUGAAUAUAUUUUGGUAAUAUUAAGAGACUGCUGAUAUUUUGAUGAGAUCUUUAGACAAGAUGAGAGAUUGAAAUGCCGAGAAUUGCUAUGGAAGAUUUUAGUAAAUAUUUAGGGAAAAUUGGGGAGCAG